This 123-nucleotide ribosomal RNA is filed under the name Salmonella enterica subsp. enterica serovar Thompson. RNAcentral describes it as "partial 23S ribosomal RNA". The stretch from base 1 to 106 matches the Rfam family "Bacterial large subunit ribosomal RNA", at positions 2820 to 2925 of the family's 2925-position model. RNAcentral also lists the same sequence under 17 other names. The record is from RNAcentral. Lineage: Bacteria; Pseudomonadati; Pseudomonadota; Gammaproteobacteria; Enterobacterales; Enterobacteriaceae.
AGGUCUCCUGAAGGAACGUUGAAGACGACGACGUUGAUAGGCCGGGUGUGUAAGCGCAGCGAUGCGUUGAGCUAACCGGUACUAAUGAACCGUGAGGCUUAACCUUACAACGCCGAAGCUGUU